Molecule: ribosomal RNA, 515 nt
Filed under: uncultured Streptomyces sp.
Lineage: Bacteria; Bacillati; Actinomycetota; Actinomycetes; Kitasatosporales; Streptomycetaceae
Description: bacterial SSU rRNA
Rfam family: Bacterial small subunit ribosomal RNA
Source: RNAcentral
GAUCAGGACAAACGCUGUCGGCGUGCUCAAAAAAAUGCAAGUCGAACGAUGAACCACUUCGGUGGGGAUUAGUGGCGAACCGGUGAGUAACACGUGGGCAAUCUGCCCUGCACUCUGGGACAAGCCCUGGAAACGGGGUCUAAUACCGGAUACGACCAUCUUGGGCAUCCUUGAUGGUAGAAAGCUCCGGCGGUGCAGGAUGAGCCCGCGGCCUAUCAGCUUGUUGGUGAGGUAAUGGCUCACCAAGGCGACGACGGGUAGCCGGCCUGAAGGGCGACCGGCCACCCUGGGGACUGAGACACGGCCCAGACUCCUACGGGGAGGGCGGCAGUGGGGAAUAUUGCACCCUGCGCCGCACGCCUGAUGCACGACGCCCCCGUGAGGGAUGACGGCCUUCGGGUUGGAAACCUCUUUCGCCGGGAAGAACCGAAGUGAUGGUACCUGGAAAAAAGCCCCGGUAAUUCCUGCCACCCGGGAAAUAGCAGGGCACGUUGCCGAAUUAUGGGGAAUCAGGG